CGCGGAGGUCACACCUGUCAGGAGCGAUCUGCGCACAGACAGAACCCUGGUCUUCAGGCCCUCCACCCUGGUUUUCCCCCGCCGCCUGUCUUCGGGGGCAGAGACGGACCAGGCUCGGUCACAAUCCCCAGGUCUGAGCUUGUUGGACACCGUGUACUGAUGUAUCCCUGUCCCAGCCGAUCGAGUCCAGCGAGAAAGCAAGUCUCGAGGUCGUAUACUUACUUCGUGCAACCCGUCUCUUGGGCACGUAGUGGACACCUGUGCCAGAAGCGCGAAUAUGAUGGCAGAAUUUUGCCUUCAAGAUGAAGAUGGUUCACGGAGAUAAGUGAUACGUGUAUGUUGCAAAGAGAGAAAUCACAUCCGUCUACAGGUAGACAUGGUUCUCAUACCCAGAAAUGGAAGCAGCAAUUUGGAACCGGCGCCUCGAUGGAAAAGCAUGUAAGUCACCCUCGAGUUGGGCCGCCCUUUAAAGAACGCUGCCCUGAGCGUCGACGCCACUCGAGAUAUUUCCACGGUCGUGCUCUGUCUCGCCCGUACACUGUCGUGAAGGGUGACCGCGGCAUAACCCUCGAUCCGCUCAACCAGACAGGCGCACACCACGCAUCUCAAGGGGCCACGACCUGCCGUCUGGGUGGUGAGGCGUGUCCCCCUGCCUCAGGGUCCUCUGUGUCCCGACAGGACUCAGAACACCUGACGUGAGCUCCAAGGGAAGGUCCCCCUGUCUGUCCGUUUAUAAACGUAGCCAAGUUAAUCUCCUUUUUGGGCAAAUGGAAACAUAAACGGGGUCUCCAACUUUCUCUCCUGUCCCCACUGCCCCGGCUGAGCCCCCUCUUGCUGGGGGAGAGUUAGCACCCUCCCAUCCUGGGAUACUCUGGAGGAAGGAGGCAGGCGGGUGGCUGUACCGUGGGACCUCCGGGGAACGGACGCUGCCCGGCACAGUCCCAAGGGGAGGCGCGGACACACCCAGUCUCCCCUCGAUGUUCUUCGGAGCCAGAAGCCCGUCCGUGAGUCAGGGCGCUUCCCGCGAUCCCCCGCUUAGCCGCGUGGCUCUGCGGCCCCUCCCCUCCAGAGGCGGACUGCACGUCACUAGUCGUCCGCUCCGGGAGGGCCUCGUGACACCCCUGACCAGUGCGGUGGAGCAGGAAGGACGUGGGACGUCCAAGGUGAGGCAGGUCCUCCUUUACACUCUUGGCACGUGCUCCCCGUCGCUUGAAGACGCCCAGGAUGAGAGGCCGAGCCAGGUGAGAGCAGCUGAAGGAUCACCAGUGCACGCGGGAGUCCUGAGGAGCGACGCGGCAGCGCUGUCGUAGGCCUCGGUGUCCCGAGGUAGUUUCUUACGCAGCAACACUCACCGAUGCAUCAGUGAGGCCCUCCGGUUCCUCAUCAGGGCACCUGCUUCCUGAUCGAGAAGGCGAGUUUGAAUUCGAUGGUCUCCAGGCCCCGAACGCUCCAGAGCCACGUUAGCAAACAGAGCCGUGGCAAAGACGCCAGGUCAGAGGGAGCGGGACUCAGGAGCACACGACGCCUCCCCGUGGCCACAGUCCGCCCCGCUUCGGGGACAGCUGACGAGGAGGGCGGCCAGCCCACUCCGGCCGCACUCCCGGAGCAUGGGGCGCGGUGCCGGGGACAGGUGAGCUCGGCCACCGAGGGCACGGCCCUCCAGACCUGUGGUCACGCCCCGCUCCACUAUCCCUGCCGCCUGCCCUUCCUCAAAAAGCCCCCGGCCACCCCGAGCCUGUGUCCUCCUCUGCCGACCACAGACAGGUGUAGCCACCCCCGGGAGCCGCUGCGAGGAGCAGACACCGUACGCGGAGCGCCUGGUGCCCAGGAGGCACCGAACGUGGGGGCUGCAGCCUGCGCACUUGAGCUCAGAGGUGCGUGGAGGGGGUGGCAGCGGGGCCGGCACUAGUCAGGGGGCUUCGAUCAUGCCUACGAGUUGAACGGGUAGCGCUUUUACGUUCAGAAGCGCUCGAUGCCGACCGUACACGGUUCCCAGAGCCGAGACAGAAGGGGACGUUGGAGGGUAACUCCCCCUUGUUCAUCUGGACGAGCGCAAACAUCGUAGUAAGUCGUCAGUGCGGGCCGCACAUUCCUUGGGCCAUAAACCAAUGACCGUGGGCUCCCCAUAGAAGCAAAAGGGUACUUUUAAAAGCAGCAGCCCUGGGUCACCGGUACCUCCCAGUGGUUGGGUCAUUCUAUUUUUCCCUCGUCCUUCUCUAAACUCUUAACUUCCCCAUUGUGGAACAUCAUUGGCUUGACCUCUGACU
Prionailurus viverrinus (fishing cat) is the source of this 2267-nucleotide long non-coding RNA. RefSeq lists it as uncharacterized. The record is from RefSeq and is a predicted model, not a curated record. The transcript is spliced from 3 exons. Lineage: Eukaryota; Metazoa; Chordata; Mammalia; Carnivora; Felidae.